GAUGAAGAACGCAGUGAAAUGCGAUAAGUAAUGUGAAUUGCAGAAUUCAGUGAAUCAUCGAAUCUUUGAACGCACAUUGCGCCCGCCAGUAUUCUGGCGGGCAUGCCUGUCUGAGCGUCAUUUCAACCCUCAUGCCCCUAGGGCGUGGUGUUGGGGAUCGGCCAAAGCCCGCGAGGGACGGCCGGCCCCUAAAUCUAGUGGCGGACCCGUCGUGGCCUCCUCUGCGAAGUAGUGAUAUUCCGCAUCGGAGAGCGAUGAGCCCCUGCCGUUAAACCCCCAACUUUCCAAGGUUGACCUCAGAUCAGGUAGGGAUACCCGCUGAACUUAAGCAUAUCAAUAAGCGGAGGA
Molecule: unclassified non-coding RNA, 348 nt
Filed under: soil metagenome
Description: partial contains 5.8S ribosomal RNA, internal transcribed spacer 2, and large subunit ribosomal RNA
Rfam family: 5.8S ribosomal RNA (bases 1-120)
Source: RNAcentral